This is a long non-coding RNA of Equus caballus (horse), 2405 nucleotides long. Lineage: Eukaryota; Metazoa; Chordata; Mammalia; Perissodactyla; Equidae. The record is from Ensembl.
AUCCUCAUCCCUGGAAAAUGCUUUUCUCCAGGGCCCCCUGGGUCCCUUCCAGUGGCAGCGCCAAGUCUGCUGCGGAAGGGGGGUUUUCAAACGAUGACAGCACAAUGCCACGGCGCCACGACAGAGGCUCCCCUCGCUCUCUCGGGAGAAAUAACUGGAAGCAUGAGGACAGGCUUCGCCGCGGCAAGACGCGUUUGGGUUGAGCGUUAAAGAUGUCCGAAAUGGUUAGCGAAAGAAAGAGACAGAGGGCAUCUCAGAAGGGGAAACACUGUGCGAAGGUACAGGAUCAAGAAAGCAGGGCGAGUUAAGAAACCCUGAGCACUUUCCGUGUGGCGGGAGGGGAUGGGGCAGGUGAGAUGAGAAAGGUUGGCUGGUGCCGGCCCGGGAAGGCUUUGAACGCCGGUAUUUCCUCUGCUCAACCUGGGGCCAGCCUCCCCGUUCCUCGCUGCGGUCUCCGAGGAGAGAUCCGAGGAGAGAUCCGAGGAGGAGAACGAGGCCUUCCUCGCCGGUGUCCGGCCCUGGUCCCCACACGGGCGAGCCCGAAGCGCCCUGCACCUCCAAGCAGAAAGUCAGCGGACCGGCAGCCCGCUUCACAGCACAGCCUCGGGGUGGGCAGCGGUCGCGGCUUAUGUUCGAGCCAGCGACGUGCUGCCUGGGAAGCGGCGCUCGAACCCGAGCACCGGGCGGGCGCAGCGGGCCAGGAAGCCGCGGGGCGGGCGCCGAGCGGGCCGGGAAAGUUAACUUGGCACAAUCGGCGCAUCAAAGCGGCGCAGCUGCGGCUCGAGGAGCCCGCGCAGCUUUCUUCUCGCCGCUCUCUUCUCCCCGAUUAAUCAGCCGCUACAGCGCGGCGCUUUGAUCCCCGAAAUCAAACCCUCCGUCUGAUGGGUGACUUGAUGUUAUGCUAAUCCGAGCUGAUUGAGCUGAGAUAAUUACACUUCAUCCAGGUUUCCUGGGAGUUCCGAAUAAAUAUUGAUGCACAUCUGUCCCCCGCUCAGGUGUAGCGGGGAGCUUUGCGCUGGCAACAGUUUCGGCAGGCCCGGGAGCGCGCGCGCACUGCCGCCAGCCGCCCGCCUUCGCCAGUCUCCGCCCGCCUUCGCGGCGGAGCCCGGGUGCGGCGAGCCCGGCGGGAAGCCCAGAGCUUCGCUGCUCGGGGCCCUCGAGGCGCCCGGGGAGGUGGCGAAAACCUGGAGCUUUGCGGUUUAGGGGCCAGGUUUGAGUCUCAGCGCCCCUGUCUUGCCUGUGUGGUCUUGGACAUGUCACUUAACUGCUCUGAGCCCCAGAGCCUACCGGUUUCUCUAGAUUGCCGCGGAGAUGAAAUGAGAUGCGUGAGAAGCGGCUGAACUGCGCGAAGUCGCGCUCGGCCUUGCUGGGGGCCCUUCCCACCGAGAGUCGGGGACCUGAGGAGGCGCCCCAACCAGGGCAUCCUCCCCGUCACCUCUCGCGCGCCGAGGCUGCGCGCUCCAGACAGUAUAGAAAUGAAUAAUAAAGCAAGCGUUUCGGUGGCGCCGCUCCUCCCCGCGGGCCAAUUAGGUCGUGUUUGUAAAGCACUUCGAAGACAAAACGCGCCCCAAGUGUUAAUUAUCGUUAGCCCCGUCCCAACGCGCUUCCCGAACAGCGCGGGAAGCCCGGAGUGCCCCCUUGCCAGCCUGCGCUGCAGCGGCCGGGCGUGCGCGGAGACCCCCAGCGCGAGUCAGCCGCCGGUCCGCACCCCCACUCCUCCUGGCUCUGUAUCUCAUUCCCCGGCCUUCUGGAGAUCCGGACGCGAGGAUAGAGACGGGAGGGGUGGGGGGGGGGCGGGGGGGGGGUUGGGGGGAGAGGAGGAGCGAGGUACAAGACACAACUAACUGCAGGGAUGAUAACGGUAAGGCCCAGACCCGGGAAGGGUCUCCAUAUCACACAGCCACUUGGAAACAGAGCCCAACUCUAGUCUCCAGACUCCUCCUCCAGCGCUCCGUGAACACACUUUACUGCUCCCUUGGAAUAACCACAGUGAUACUUGGAAAAAUAAUCACGAAUGAUGGGCUGAGUUCAUUACUGUUUACAAAAUGCCACAAUACGCAUUAUUUCAAUGGGUCCGAAUGAGUCACUGAGGCUCAGAGGUAUGGGGAUUUGCCCUAGGUCACACCCUGGUUAGUGGCCACACUGGGGCAGGAGCCCAGAGCCCAGGGGUGCCGUCCCCAGAGGCUGUGCAGGGUCUUCCAGCCCACCCUCUUGGAGUGACUGGAGUCAUACUUCUUUAAAUGCAUGUGAUUCUUGCCUACACUGUUGUUCACGCUGCUUGCCUAAAAGUGAGCAUUUAUCCUCUAACAAGCAUUUUUGCCCAGAGAUGUUUCCUGGUGACUUCAGAAGCUGAUGGAUGGGGCUGAGCCCCUGGACCUCUUCCUCAGAAGCAUGGAAAGACAAGC